Passer domesticus (house sparrow) is the source of this 1444-nucleotide long non-coding RNA. RefSeq lists it as uncharacterized. NCBI's taxonomy places the organism in Eukaryota, Metazoa, Chordata, Aves, Passeriformes, Passeridae. The transcript is spliced from 4 exons. The record is from RefSeq and is a predicted model, not a curated record.
GGCACACCCUGCCAUGAUGGCAUUGGCCUCCAAGUGUUGCUGAAGCUAAUGGCAUUAGGAGAUGCUUUGAGGCAGCAGCCCAGUGACAGCAGGAACUUCCCAGAUGGCGAGGUGGCCUUCUUUUGCACCUGAUGCAGACUGGCAUCCCCCGAUGUCUGAGAGAUAAGUCGAGGGCUAUGAACCACAGAGGGGAGGAAAGGGGGUUGCUGGGUUGGGAUUUGCUGGGAGAGGUUUUUGAGUCAGCUUUGGGGCUGAGGCUAUCUAAGAAGUGUCCCCUUAGGCCACAUAAAGGGAAAGUGUCGCUUUUGAUCCGAGUGCUGAGGUGUGCAGGGCAGUGCAGUCCCGGUGUGUAUUGUGUCACUUGUCUAAUAUGCCUUAUGUGUUGUUUAUAUAUCUCAUGUCACACAUCUUGUACGUUAGCCCAUUGAGUGGCCUGACAGAAACCCUGGCGUCAUUCUUAGCAUCUCUGAUCCCUGCAUUCCUUGGUCUGGCGCCAAUGCCAUAGGUCUUUUGACUCGGGAGCUCAGACAGGCAUUGGAAUUUUAUUUUUCUUUAGGAACAUCCGGUCUGAUGUCUUUGCAGGUCUUGUUCUGAGCUGUACAUACUGCUGUGCAUUGCAAGGAUCCAUUAUGGCAGAUUAGGAAUUGUAGGAAUGUAAGGAUAGGUAGAGGAUUCUGACCGUAGGAUUCUCAGACAUCCAUCUUUGUAGUUCUUGGUGUAGACCAUUGUCUUAGCAGAUUCUUCCUCCAGGGUUCUCUGAGCCUCUACAGCUCGCCAUUGGUCUCACCCCAGUCGUCUAAUUUGCGUUCUCUCUGUCCUUGCAGUAAUUCCUCUUGCCCUGAGAUUUCUGUCCCUGUUGUGUCCCCAUUGUUUGUCAUGUCCUGUCCUGUGUCACGGGUGUCUGCACUAUUUGUGCCGGAGCUGCUCUGCCCUGCUGCGUAGCCUGGUGUAGUAGGACAAAUUCUGGGGGCUUGAAAUUUGUAGUAUGGGGUGUAGUUGGACUCUGGAUGGUAUUCCUAGGUUGACCCAAGGUGUCUGGAGCUGUGAAGUUGUCUUGCAGCCCUUUGACUUUUGUUCUAACUUUCUUUCAGAUGCAGAUGGAUAAAAUCCAUGGCACAGCACCCCAUCCCAGGAAGUAUAGCCAUAUAGCAGCAGUCAAGGAGGAGUGGGUAAGGUAAUUCACUGUGAUUAUGCCAAGUCCCUGUCACCAACAGCUGAUGGACCAGGUUUGCUGCUCUUGUGAGCCCUGUGGAGGUAUUGCAGGACCCUGUGAUGAAGCCUUGAAAUUAUCUAUUUAAAGGUCCCUUCUGGGUCGCCCUCAGGAAUGGCCAUGGAGUCGUAGUGAGGAGGAGCCAGGGUCCACUCAGGUUUCAGCAGUGUCACCUCACGUGUCUCCCCUUUACCUAGGCGUACCCUGCAAUGAUGGAAUCGGUCUCAAAGCACG